Long non-coding RNA from Cyprinus carpio carpio, 424 nucleotides. NCBI's taxonomy places the organism in Eukaryota, Metazoa, Chordata, Actinopteri, Cypriniformes, Cyprinidae. The record is from Ensembl.
AUCAGUGUCAAUCUCAAAGCAUUUCUAAAAUAAAAUAUAUUGCUGAGAGCUUCUAUACCUUCAACAAUCACUUGAAGAUCACUUUCCAUUGCCAUAUCUAUCUCAAUGACAAAUGAUGUGUAUCUUCCUGAAUCUGGUUUGGUCAUAUUGUUUAUGUCUACUGCCAUCAUUUAACGUCUUAUACAAAUAAAGAGAUUGAUCUGAUUGAUCAGCAUCAUAAGAGUUUGAUGUGAAAGUGACUCACAUGCAGCAGUCUGCAGCAGCAGCAGCAUCAGUCCAAAGAUGAGCAUCAUUUCUCUAAAGUCCAGUUUCAGAAGAACUCAAUCCCAGCAGAAGAGUGUGACGCUGCUUCAGAUCGUCUGUGUUCUGGCUCUCAUCAAGACAGCGUCUUCACGGCGAGACUCACACUGGACUGACACACGAG